AGUAAAAGGUAGACUUAAAAGUCAUAUUCAUAUUGUACAAGUAUUGGUGCUAGUGAAUUUGUUUUAGAUAUUCUUGAAAAUGGAUAUUUCAUUCCUUUCAUUUCUACUCCUCCCAGAACAGUUCAUAAAACAAUAAGUCAGCGUUAGACAAUGAACUUUUUGUUACGGAAGCGAUAUCAGAUCUUUUGAAUAAUAAAUGUGUAACUCAAGUUAAACUUAGGCCCCA
This 226-nucleotide long non-coding RNA is filed under the name Mytilus galloprovincialis (Mediterranean mussel). The record is from RNAcentral. Lineage: Eukaryota; Metazoa; Mollusca; Bivalvia; Mytilida; Mytilidae.